This 265-nucleotide ribosomal RNA is filed under the name uncultured bacterium. RNAcentral's name for it is "partial 16S ribosomal RNA". It matches the Rfam family "Bacterial small subunit ribosomal RNA", at positions 524 to 776 of the family's 1533-position model. The record is from RNAcentral.
GACGUAGGAGACGAGCGUUGUCCGGAGUUACUGGGCGUAAAGGGUGCGCAGGUGGCCGCGCGCGUGGGGAGUGAAAUCGCCUGGCUUAACUGGGCGGGGGCUUUCCAGACGGCGUGGCUUGAGCAGCGGAGGGGGGCGUGGAAUUCCGGGUGGAGCGGUGAAAUGCGUAGAGAUCCGGAGGAACACCGACGGCGUAGGCAGCGCCCUGGCCGCUUUAUGCGAAAGCAGCUGACACUGAGGCACGAAAGCUGGGGGAGCAAACAGG